UACGGAGGAUGCGAGCGUUAUCCGGAUUUAUUGGGUUUAAAGGGUGCGCAGGCGGCGAGUUAAGUCAGCGGUAAAAUUUCGGGGCUCAACCCCGACAAGCCGUUGAAACUGGCUGUCUUGAGAUGUCGAGAGGUAUGCGGAAUGCGCAGUGUAGCGGUGAAAUGCAUAGAUAUCACGCAGAACUCCGAUUGCGAAGGCAGCAUACCGGCGCCCGACUGACGCUGAAGCACGAAAGCGUGGGUAUCGAACAGG
RNAcentral lists this ribosomal RNA (252 nucleotides) under uncultured Bacteroidales bacterium. Its description in RNAcentral is "partial 16S ribosomal RNA". It matches the Rfam family "Bacterial small subunit ribosomal RNA", at positions 524 to 776 of the family's 1533-position model. Lineage: Bacteria; Pseudomonadati; Bacteroidota; Bacteroidia; Bacteroidales. The record is from RNAcentral.